GGCUGUGAUCAUACUAGCGCUAAUGCGCUGGAUCCCAUUAGAACUUCGAAGGUGAACGUGCUUGGGCGAGAGUAGUACUAAGAUGGGUGACCUCUUGGGAAGUCCUCGUGUUGCACCCC
This 119-nucleotide ribosomal RNA is filed under the name Jatropha curcas. The record is from RNAcentral. Lineage: Eukaryota; Viridiplantae; Streptophyta; Magnoliopsida; Malpighiales; Euphorbiaceae.